UAGCCGCCACCUCCCGCACGCCCGCACCCCGCUCUGUCCUUGCCUCGCGGCUCCACUCCCAUAACCCUACCCCCUCCUCUCCUCUGCGCCGCCGCCGCCGCCGUCGCCAGUCCUCCUCCCCUCACACCGCGCCCCCACGGCCCUUGAGGCGCUGCGCCAGAUCCAAUCCGACCACGGCGCCGUGCGACGCGACGGCGAGUGGGCGCCCGCCCUCCCCGUCCGUGAGCUCGUCCCCGGGGACAUCGUGCAGUGAGUGGGCGAGAGCAGUUGAAGUGAAGGCUCGAAGCAGGCAAGCAGCCGUGACUCGAUGGGGUGCGAGGCGGAGGCGGAGGAGCACGUCUCCGGUCUCCCCGAUUCCGUUCCGGUGGUGGCGUGAUGGGGCCCGCUGACUGGCCGAGCGGGUCAGCGAGCGAUGACGACGACCAAGGGAGAAGGGGAACGGCGCUGCAGCGGCGUGUUGGGGCCUAGGGAGCAAGCGACAGACGCGAUAUGCAGGCUGGGGCCAGGAGAGCUGACUAGAGACGAGGGUUGGGGAGACCGGAACACCCGGCACACCCUUUAGCUACGCCAAUGCCGCUCAAGCUCUGUCGAGACAUGGAACCGAAGCCGUGAGGCGGACAUCAUCAUUUUGUCAGACUAAGUGUGGAGUUACAAGUAUCAUUUUUUCACAAAGGAAGAAAUUCGGAGUAAUUUUCGCUCUUCAUGUUGUGAGAGAACCUGUUCAGUAGGAUGCCAACAUGCAUCAGGAAGCCAACGGACAGCCAGAGCUGGAAGGCAUGGAGCUUGAGCUGCAGUGACGAUGACAACUUGGGUGUCAGCUGCAAAAAACUACAGUUCAAAGUGUUCAACCAAGUGUAAGUUUGCAGUAAGUCAAUAAUUGCAGUUCUACAAUGACACAUUCAGACAUGCAUCCAAAGUUAGAUAGGAACAUGGAAAGAAUCUCCGAAACUUAUUUACAGGGGAGAGAAAACAUCACACCUAUUUUAUCUUCAGUGGUUGAACUCUCUUGUAGCUUCUGUUCAGAUCCUAAAGCUAUAUGAAGCACCAUAGGUUAAGUUUGCAAGCAAAAAGAUCACACAACCUGAUAGUACUGGUAGCAGUCUUUUUCUUCCAAAGUUUAGCAUUGAUGUCUAUCGAUUUGCAGGUAAGUUACAUGUGUGCGAAUGAGAGGUCGACCAACAAGUUGUUGAUUUCUUAAUCUCGGAAACUUGAUCCUUAUAUAACUGGCUAUCAGUUAAUUUUUUAUUGAACUUUCGGUCUGUUUAAAAUACCAGUACACGAUAUUCAGGUCCAAAGGUAAGUAGCAACCUAUUUGGGCAAGUUGCAAACACAUCCGGGAUCUGGAGUAGUAGAAAUUCCUAAGUGGAUUGGGAUAUUGACAUGCAGGGAUCAAAUUGGGUGUUGUUUUUCUACUCAAUUCUGCUCCUGAUGGUUUUGUGACUGACACAUGUACUCUUUUCCUGAUUUAGAUCUUUCCAACAUCUCAUGCCACGAGUCAAAACGAGUAGUACUACUCAUGUACAUUCUGAUCGUGCGCAUUAGCUUUGCUGGGUAGUAAUGAUUAUAGAUCAUGAUUUCUGCAUGUCUUAGACCCACCACUCCACCACUCCGCUCCCGGAGCUGGAGAUAAAAAGCACGGAGCUGGGAAACAGAUGCUCCGCAGCUCCUCGUAUGUUUAGGAGCUGAAGUGACUCCGAACAGGGCCUUAGUUUCAUGUUGUGCAGUUUGCUAUGGUGGCAUUAAUUCAUAUAAUAAGUGCAUAAUCAUGCCAUGAGUGACUAUGGGGCACUAGCAUUAAGAGCCUUAUUUUUUUCCUUCUGUUCUUCACUAAUAUAUUCUUCUUAACUAGUUUCUUUAAUUACCAAUAUAGGCCUUUAAUUUGUGUGCACCUAAUAUUAAAUCCUGAAGAAAGUGAAAUUAUGUAGUGUUCAAAAUUAUAAAGUGUACUUAAUUACAAAUAAUGUGCCUUAUAGAAGAACUGAGCCCUCAUAUUUUGUACUUAGAAUUUAGAACUAUACUUUGGUUGGUUUGGUUUAGUAAUACUACUUGAGGCAGGCUUUUGAAAAUAUAUGUAAGAAGACCCGAGUACUCAUUCAAAGUGUAUUUGUAUUAACAUUCAUAUAUAUGUAGCUCUGAUAAGUGUUGGUGGGUUUAGUUUUUCAAUACCACAGCUGAUGUUUUCUUUAUAGAAUAAGAUGGAACUACACAUACCCAAAGUAACAUUUAGAAUUACUCAACUCUGACAAGCUUAGUUUCGUCACUACAUGUUACUGCUCUCGCGUGGCGCUUCGUGUGUGGCUGCUCGAUGCGUAAAGGCGAGAGAGGAUUGGAUCGGAGGAAACCCUACCCGACACAAUCGCUCCUCUGCCCCCCCCCCCCCCCCCCCCCCCCCCCUCUGGCCCGAGCCACCACUUCUCUGCGCCUCCCUGACCCACGGGAUCCUACCGCCGAUGCUCGAGACUCGGAGAGCAGCCGACGGCGGUGGAUAAGGAGAUCCAAAGCGAGCCGCUGCCGACGGUGAUGUUUGUACUAUUGCUUCUAAUCAAUGGGUGAAUUUUGCUGUGAUUUCCGUGUGUCCAUCCAAAGGAAGUAGAUGAUUGAUAGAGAUUCAGAGGGAGCAAUUGAUAUAGAGAGUUGUUGUGGUUCCUAUUUCUUCAGGUAGUUACUUUUCUUGCAGUUUCCUUUUAGUUACGAGCUUCCUCUGCAGUAUAGUCAUUUCUUUAUUUCAUUACCAGUCCCUGUUGACUACAAUGUAACCAUGCAUUGGCAGCAUAAAUUGCAGCAGUUCUUAAUCAGUUAGAAAAAAGCAACCUGAUCAAUCUUGCUUCAGAUUAUGUUUCUAUUGCUAUUGCGGCCUGAGGUCCAUCCCCGAUCGCCCCUCCUCUCAAGCCGCUACGGUGGCCUAUAUGUUUUAGCGGGUUCCGUCACGCCGGGCUGCCCCAGUCCCUGACCCAGGGUUUGGUGGGCGAGCUCACUACCAUCCUCCCAGUGGUCUUCUUCCUCGCUUGAUUCUUGGGCGCCCCAUCUAUUCUGGACGAGCACCUUCCAGUGGUGGGUGAGGAGAUCUGGCAUGAACCACGCGCCGAGAGGAGCUCAAUUUCUGCUGCCUCUGCACGCCCUAGGCCUAAUCUCACCAAUCUUUGCUACACUUCACAUCAUGAGGGAAGGAGGAUGCGUCCAUCGCAACACUCAAGCAAAUCAGAUGACAAGGUGUUUGGAGCAAGCUACUCAUAGCCAACUACAUAGUUUAGUACAAUGCUGUAUUAAAGCAGUGUAAAUAAAUAACUUAUAUGGCCUACUUUUGGUAUAUAGUACCGAACCUUGAUCUUUAGGUAUUUCACGCUACAAUUGUUAACAAAUGCACCAAUGGUUUGUAACGAGAUUUGAUGUUUUUAGUUGGACCAUUACUGUUGUAAGUAAAUAUCAUCUUCUGCUUUUUGAGUAA
Molecule: non-coding RNA, 3445 nt
Organism: Aegilops tauschii subsp. strangulata
Lineage: Eukaryota; Viridiplantae; Streptophyta; Magnoliopsida; Poales; Poaceae
Source: RefSeq, a predicted model, not a curated record